GCCUGCAUAGUACAUCGGUAGUACACAUCCUUGGUAAGGAUGAAAGACAAGUUCGACUCUUGUUGCAGGCACCA
This 74-nucleotide transfer RNA is filed under the name Rickettsiales bacterium. Its description in RNAcentral is "tRNA-Thr". It matches the Rfam family "tRNA". From Rfam's summary of the family: Transfer RNA (tRNA) molecules are approximately 80 nucleotides in length. Their secondary structure includes four short double-helical elements and three loops (D, anti-codon, and T loops). Further hydrogen bonds mediate the characteristic L-shaped molecular structure. tRNAs have two regions of fundamental functional importance: the anti-codon, which is responsible for specific mRNA codon recognition, and the 3' end, to which the tRNAs corresponding amino acid is attached (by aminoacyl-tRNA synthetases). tRNAs cope with the degeneracy of the genetic code in two manners: having more than one tRNA (with a specific anti-codon) for a particular amino acid; and 'wobble' base-pairing, i.e. permitting non-standard base-pairing at the 3rd anti-codon position. The record is from RNAcentral. Lineage: Bacteria; Pseudomonadati; Pseudomonadota; Alphaproteobacteria; Rickettsiales.